UACAGAGGUCCCGAGCGUUGUUCGGAUUCAUUGGGCGUAAAGGGUGCGUAGGUGGCCAAGUAAGUUGGAUGUGAAAUCCUGGGGCUUAACCUCAGAAUUGCAUUCAAUACUGCUUAGCUAGAGAGCUGUAGAGGAGACUGGAAUUUACGGUGUAGCAGUGAAAUGCGUAGAUAUCGUAAGGAACGCCAGUGGCGAAAGCGAGUCUCUGGACAGUUACUGACACUGAGGCACGAAGGCCAGGGGAGCAAACGGG
This 253-nucleotide ribosomal RNA is filed under the name uncultured bacterium. RNAcentral describes it as "partial 16S ribosomal RNA". It matches the Rfam family "Bacterial small subunit ribosomal RNA", at positions 524 to 776 of the family's 1533-position model. The record is from RNAcentral.